AGCCUUCUAGCUCAAUAGGUAGAGCUUUGUGCGAACGCACAAAAGAUGUGGGUUCGAAUCCCACGUAGGUUA
This 72-nucleotide transfer RNA is filed under the name Spinacia oleracea (spinach). It matches the Rfam family "tRNA". Rfam says of the family: Transfer RNA (tRNA) molecules are approximately 80 nucleotides in length. Lineage: Eukaryota; Viridiplantae; Streptophyta; Magnoliopsida; Caryophyllales; Amaranthaceae. The record is from Rfam by way of RNAcentral.